GAUGAACGCUGGCGGCGUGCCUAAUACAUGCAAGUCGAGCGAACGGACGAGAAGCUUGCUUUUCUGAUGUUAGCGGCGGACGGGUGAGUAACACGUGGAUAACCUACCUAUAAGACUGGGAUAACUUCGGGAAACCGGAGCUAAUACCGGAUAAUAUUUUGAACCGCAUGGUUCAAAAGUGAAAGACGGUCUUGCUGUCACUUAUAGAUGGAUCCGCGCUGCAUUAGCUAGUUGGUAAGGUAACGACUUACCAAGGCAACGAUGCAUAGCCGACCUGAGAGGGUGAUCGGCCACACUGGAACUGAGACACGGUCCAGACUCCUACGGGAGGCAGCAGUAGGGAAUCUUCCGCAAUGGGCGAAAGCCUGACGGAGCAACGCCGCGUGAGUGAUGAAGGUCUUCGGAUCGUAAAACUCUGUUAUUAGGGAAGAACAUAUGUGUAAGUAACUGUGCACAUCUUGACGGUACCUAAUCAGAAAGCCACGGCUAACUACGU
This 496-nucleotide ribosomal RNA is filed under the name uncultured bacterium. RNAcentral's name for it is "partial 16S ribosomal RNA". It matches the Rfam family "Bacterial small subunit ribosomal RNA", at positions 28 to 506 of the family's 1533-position model. The record is from RNAcentral.